RNAcentral lists this ribosomal RNA (902 nucleotides) under uncultured archaeon. RNAcentral's name for it is "bacterial SSU rRNA". It matches the Rfam family "Archaeal small subunit ribosomal RNA", at positions 1 to 876 of the family's 1478-position model. The record is from RNAcentral.
UCCGGUUGAUCCUGCCGGACCCCACUGCUAUCGGGAUAGGACUAAGACAUGCUAGUCGUGUGCCUCAGCCAAAACGAGGCACGGCGCACAGCUCAGUAACACGUGGCUAACCUGCCCUUAGGACGAGAAUAACCCCGGGAAACUGGGGCUAAUGCUCGAUAGGUGAAGAACUCUGGAAUGAGUCUUCACUUAAAAGAGUCUGCGUUAUGCUCGUAGAUUUCGCUUAAGGAUGGGGCCGCGACCGAUCAGGUUGUUGGUGAGGUAAUGGCUCACCAAGCCUUUUACCGGUGCGGGCCGUGAGAGCGGGAGCCCGGAGAUGGGCACUGAGACAAGGGCCCAGGCCCUACGGGGCGCAGCAGUCGCGAAAACUUUGCAAUACACGAAAGUGUGACAGGGCUAUCCCGAGUGCCAUCCGCUGAGGAAGGCUUUUACCCAGUCUAGAACGCUGGGGGAAUAAGGAGAGGGCAAGUCUGGUGUCAGCCGCCGCGGUAAUACCAGCUCUCCGAGUGGUGUGGAUGUUUAUUGGGCCUAAAGCAUCCGUAGCUGGCUAAGUUAGUCCCCUGUUAAAUCCAACGAAUUAAUCGUUGGAUCGCGGGGGAUACUGCUUGGCUAGGGGACGAGAGAGGCAGACGGUAUUUCCGGGGUAGGGGUGAAAUCCUAUAAUCCCGGGAAGACCACCAGUGGCGAAAGGCUGUCUGCUAGAACGCGCCCGACGGUGAGGGAUGAAAGCUGGGGGAGCGAACCCGGAUUAGAUACCCGGGUAGUCCCAGCUGUAAACGAUGCAGGCUAGGUGUUUUGGACGGGCCACGUGCCGUUCUAGUGCCGCAGGGAAGCUGUUAAGCCUGCCGCCUGGGGGGAGUACGAUCGCAAGAUUGAAAACUUAAAGGGAAUUGGCCGGGGGG